GGAAAUCGCAGCCAUACGGGCUGCGCUCCCCCAGCUGAACUGUAUCUGCAUUUCAACGGUGGGAGAAAAGACGCUCUACGGCGAGGUGCUCCUCCCUCCGCCCUGCCAACCUCAUCUGUCAGCCAUUAGUUAAUCAGGGCUGGUAACACAGAGCACAGAGAGCUGGCACAGCUCGUGGGACCAGAGGACAGCUUCACCUCUGAGAGCAAGAAGAGGGCAAGGACUCAGGGACCUCUGCUUCACCGAUCUACAGCUGGGCUGCUUCACUCACCAGCACCCACUCAGGACUGGCAGGCGUCAACCUCGACAUGACCCCACCCACUGCUUCACUGUGAACAGGGAGGUUUCAAAGACAGAAGUCAAAACAACAUAUGUUGUCAACAUGGGAACAGCUGGUAAGAGCGGCGUCAUGGGGCAGAGGAAUGUCAAGAGUCAUAGAUCUUUUAUCCAUCAGGCCAAAAUAGCUACCCGGACUUGUUUGAAACCACGCACGGGAGCAGUGUGAAAUUUAUACAUCCAACUCACCUCACACUAACCUUUACUAACUUUAUCCAUGACCAAUCUUACAACAUGCUUUGAACUAUAGAAACCAGAUGAUGAAUUUAAAAAAGUACAUGCAAAUAUAUCCACGAGCAAAAUACAGAUAUACUUUGCUGACAGAACAGUCCAGUGCAGUGAUGGAUUUCAGCUGUGACAAGUUGAUUUUGCCGUAUUAUUCAUCGCAGGAUGGGACUGAUUGUGUGAUGUGGAAAUAAUUUCCUGCCUCUGUCAAUGCAGUUCCUGACAGACACUCAGCUGCAGGAGCUGCAGCAUACUUCUGAUUGGCGAAAACUAAACAGUAUAUUCUGCGCUCCAUGCCAAGUAUGACUUUGCCAUCUUUUAAGAGUUAAAUAAACAACCGGUUGAGUUGGCAUAUACAGUUUCUCCAACACAGUUUCCUUUUUAAGUCAACACCACUCAGAAAAGAUACACCAAGAAACCAUAAGUCAAAACCAAAUGACAAAACAGACGUGUUUUUCCGUCUGUCUAAACAUUCCACUGAGAGCUUUUUCCAUUACCGUGUUAUACUGAAACAUGCAGCCCUGCUCGAAUCAGUGUUCUGCUGCAGAUGGGAACGAGGGAUAACUUUAGAAAAGUUACUAUAAAGACAGAACUUGAAAUAUACAACAGACCAGCCGUAAGGUUAUAAAAUAGCGACCUUUGGCACAGAACGUUCAAGUCUGAGUCCCUCUUCCUGCUAAAUGUUGCACAGCUGCUUUUCUAAUCUGUCAUAGCAGCCAGCUUGCCACAGCUUGCAUACAGGGAAGUCUGGAAAAACUCCAAACGGGAUGAUCCUGACCUUGCAUUACAAGGACAAGAAAGAUAAAAUAUAGAGCAAGUGACACAAGAGAAGGAGAAUACAAUUUUUUACAUUGUGUUUUCAUAGUUUAAAAAAAAAAAAGGAAAUGGAGGGAAAUCAACACCUGGUAUGUGUGUCUUAUUACCACAUAUCCAAUAUCCAAUUUAUGGCAGCAUUAUAGAGGCAACAGGGAGCUUUUGGUACUUAAAUCCAAAUAGCAGUGUUUACCAGAAUUGCUGUUGCUUUUUAUACGUUACCACCCAAACCCCUUUGUCCACUGUGCCUCUUUGAAGUAGUGCUAAACCUGUGCCUGAUCUCAGCCAAGUCCAUGGGUCCUUGAUGUCAGACAAAGGCCUCCAUCAGAGGAAAAAUCCACCCGAAAAUAAACAAAUAAAUAAAUAAAAAUAGUUAUUCCUGACAUAUCCUGCCAACCCAGUCACUAGAAAAAAUGCUGGCAUAUACGUUUCUGCAAACUACAGAUACAUUUUGCACGUUGUCAUGUAGCAGAUACGUUGAAACUUUACAUUUCAACAACACUGUGGUUCACAUGUGGUUAGGGUUAGGCACAAAAACUCUUGGUUAUGGGUGGCACAAUGGGGGGCACAAUCUCGGCAGGAAACCAAGCAAGGGAUCGCUACAAAACAUCCACGCUUGGUGCCUAAAAAUCUGCUGGAAACAGCAACAACUGGCUAAAUCACAGCUGGUUUUGUUGUUUUUUGGUCUUGAACAGUGGUCUGCAGCUUGGCAGCCAUCUUGCUUAGGUGUAGCACCAUCCACCAUGUUCCCCUGAUGAUAAAAUCAACAUGUAGAUUACAUCUCUUCAUACGUACAAAUGUAAAGUAUUUGUGGUUUGCAGAAAUGUAAAAUGCCAAAACUGUCUUCUGGCGACUGGGCUGACGCUGCCUGGUCAAUACACGUCAAGCUCAGCUACAGAGGAUCUUCAUCUGUCUACAACAUCAAAAACAAACAUCAGGUUUUGGCUUCAGCCUGUCAGACUAAACAAGGAGGGCCUUCUGUAGACUCAACGGUUUCCAACGAUGGUAAACUCUCAAAACAAGAGUUGGUAAGUAACAAAAGAUAGAGGCAUUGGUAAUGUUCAUUGUUGGGGUUGAUAUUAAGCUAUACAAAGAAUAAGAGAAUAAAAAACACACACCUCAUGGAAUUAUAGCACUUUGAACAUUAAACUAUUUUUGUUAUCAUUGGUUUUUGUUUGCAUGUCACUUAUUUGCACUAUUUUUCAGUGUCUCAUAAACAAAACAAUUAACCAAAAAUAAUUGGCCGAUUAAUUCACAAUGACUAAAUCCUUCAGUGCAGCCUUAGAAAUAAUCUGUGCACAAAUACUCAAGGGUGGAUUUUUCCUUUGCAUGUUGGUGUCUUUUACUAUUAAGCGGAAAUUACUUUGAUGAAUGGUGCAUCAGGCACUGACUGACAUACUGGAAUUUCCUCACAUCUGUGGACCAGUGGCCUUGCUAACAUAGAACCAUUAGAAACAGACCCGACAGGUAGCUAACUCACAAGGAAAGCGCAGCACACACAAACUUAAAUAGUACGAUACAAGUACAGCUAAGUCUCUGACCCUCUACAGUGCAGCUAAACAUCACACAGUCUUGUAUGUUGGAGCUGAAAUGGAGGGCUAUUAGCUCCUUGUUACCUAAAGUGGGCUUGAACACCUAAUCUAUCACUGCCUCUCCCUUAAGAGGGCGGAAAAAGCUCAAACUCCAUUUCACUCCAUCAACUUGAUACCAUCGACAGGCCCAAACAGGACCAGGCCCCAGCAAGUCUGACGCGGUAGCCUCAUGUGAGAAGAAUACACAUUUAAGUGGAGUCUUAGAAGCGACUCCUAGAGGCUUAAAAACACUUUAUAAUACCUGACCGACGAGUUGAGGAAAAGCAGGCGCUCUACCUGUGUCAAAGUGAGGCCAUGUUCCCUAUUAUUCGAUGAGCCUGGGCUACACCGACCUAAAUGCUUCCAGACUUUCACGCCCUGUCUCCUCUCAUUCCAUCUCACUGCAUCUGCUCCUAACUCAGAUCACCCACAAAAUAACAUCUACCCUCACUAGAUGGGCUGCUCUCUUAAUUUCUUCCAAUGCCCUGCACAAAUGCACUGUGGUUCCGAGUCAACUCUGAUUCCUUCAGAUACGGUUUUGCUCCUACAGGCAUUAAUAUCACUGUUUAACUGCUCUCUAAGCUACAAUAAAUAGUGAGGAUGUUUAUGCAGGUGCUGGCAAACAAAAUCUAUGUUACGGUGGGUAAUAUGUUAACUUUAUGUUAUCCGACUGCUUGACCUACACAAGCCUUCCAUUCCUAAUGCGAAAGCCAUGCUGUGAUCCAAAUAUUUUGAAUCUUCAGAUAACAUCUCGCAGCAUCUGGUUUUCUGCCUCCCAAGUCUUAGUGGUUUGCCAGAAUCUGCAGGCCAUAGUGCUUGACUUUUAACCAGCAAAUCAUCAACUGAACUAUUUUGCUUUCUCUCAAAAGGCCGAAUUGAAACAUUAUCUCCCGACUCAGAUUUAAAUUAAAGCCAUGACAAGAAGAAGGGGGGACCUUCCAGCCACCGCCUCGAUCGCUCACACUCGACUGGCAUAUGGGCAGCAUCAGGAAACACAAGCCCCAAUGAUGUUGCGACCGUCUGACCCCGGGGUGACAGGUUUGGAGGGUGUUCUUGCCCACUGCCCCCCAGGCCAAAGUCAAGUAUGUCAACGUUGUGCAUGUGGGUUUCAUUUGAAGCAGCAUGAUUAGUUCACAGACGCUCAACUGCGACCCCCCCUUCCUCCUCCAUGGGAAACCCACUCUCGACAGGAAACGGUAUGUUUUUGUUAGCAACAAACAGGCAUAAAUUACAAAAAUGGAGCCUCGGUUGCCAAUUCAUCACACACAGCCUUAUUGUUACUGCUCGCACACGUUUGACAUCGACAUUGUUUUUAAGGUAAUUACUAUUAGUUAAUGAUAUUUGCAUUCCUGAUCGUUUAUGUUGAACUGUGUCUGCAAUCAUGAAUUUGUGCAAUAAAUGUGAUAAUUGCUUCGUGUCUUUUCUUCUUUAUAUAUGACAAAUGUGUUUUGAUGAUUUGGAAAAUGAACGCAGCUUUGACGACGAUCAGUCAAGAAUAUAAAUGAUCAAACAUCCAGGGAGAAAAAUGGAGGCAGAUUACUUUGGGGAAACAAACUAAAGCAAAGAUCUAAUUACAUUUAAAUUGUACUGCUGUUCUGUUAGUGAAUGCCAACAUAUAAAAUUACUCUUGUUGGUCAAAUGUUUAUGAAGGAGUAAUGCACAUUUGUGAAUAUUGUCAAGAUGGUAGCAUACCAUCAUUAAUAAAGCCAUUACCUCUUAACAAAGUUUAUUUCCAGGAUUUUAGCCUACGUCUGGAACACGAGAGGAAAUUAAACGACUUGUCAAAAAUGUCUUACAAGUAAUGAUAUCUGUAGCGUAAUAAAUACAUGAACUCAUUUCCCAAGAGGUGAUUAAGCAGUAUGAAUAAUGAGGAUUCUUUCUCGUGUUUUCAUGUGUAAGAUACAUUUAAGAAUACAUGUAUAUAUUGACGAGCUGCUGCUGCAAACUGAUGUGACUGAUACUGCCGGUGCAAGUUUUUUUAUUUAGCAUAGGCCUGCUACGGACAGAAGAGGCCACUGCACAAGGUAAGACGCACUCAGAAGCCAUGGGAGAUAUUUUGACAAUGUUACAUAAUACAAGAACCCCUGGACUACUUUAUCCUCCUCUGGCCUCUGGAAGAGCAUCCCCCACACGUUUGCCAUUUCACUAAGACAACGUUUAAUUUUUGGUUCCAUAAAAAGAUUAAAAUGUUUAAAAGAUUGUAUGAAUGCUUGCUGUAAUAUCUGAUAGAGGGGUUGGUGUAUAAAGGUAAUUUGAUAGCCAAUGUUUGCCUCUAAUUUAAGUCAUUUAGUUUAAUUACGUGUAUGCUUCACUACAUAGAGCUAUGUUAAAACUCUGCUGGUUAAUUAAAGGUUUGCAUUUGUAUAUUCUUGUAAUAUGAUCUGUAUUGAGUGGUUUGAAGGCUAUGGUAAAGUAUUUACUUGAGUUCCUACAGUAUUUUAAUAUACAACCUGAUAUAUUCUCACACAGGUGCUUUACAAAGCUAUGUUAAUGUGUGUUUUCCUUCAACGAGUGACCUCAGGACAAUAUCAAAUACAUAAUUCAAUAAGCAGCUUUCUGUAAAUACUAGCUUUCCAGGGGCUUUCUCUUGGAUCUCCUCAGCUAAACAACCCUUGCCAGCAUGCAUUAAUACCAAUUAUUGUUGUAGUAAAAGUAAUACUUUGUCGGUCUCCUGCCAAAUGCGUUACAGAGAGCUCCAUUAAUGCAAUGGUAAACAGAUGUGCCACCCAGCGCCAAAGUUUGAUUUGAACCGUAUAUGUUUUCUCCAGGGAGAUUACAAAAUAAAAUGUGAAAACGCAUAAAAGGAAAAGGCCUGCAGGGUUUUUACACAACGUUAUGCAGAGGUAUGUAAAGUGCUCCAGAUACUAUAGACGCAGAUUUUAAGUAUGCCCCCCAAAGACUGAAUUAUUAUAAGGAUUACUGAAAAAGGCUGCUAUGAAGUCAAUUGAGGGUCAAAUACCAAAAUACCACAUAAUGACCUACAAGUCAAGUUCUUGCUAUGAGCUGUUUACAGUACCUCACCUACACACUAUACACUGCAUAAACUGUACCAUGCAUGCACCGCAGCAUAUCACUGUACUAUGAAACUACUGUGUAUAAAAGAACUGCU
Long non-coding RNA from Epinephelus fuscoguttatus (brown-marbled grouper), 6054 nucleotides. RefSeq lists it as uncharacterized. The record is from RefSeq and is a predicted model, not a curated record. Lineage: Eukaryota; Metazoa; Chordata; Actinopteri; Perciformes; Serranidae. The transcript is spliced from 3 exons.